RNAcentral lists this ribosomal RNA (494 nucleotides) under uncultured bacterium. RNAcentral describes it as "partial 16S ribosomal RNA". It matches the Rfam family "Bacterial small subunit ribosomal RNA", at positions 28 to 506 of the family's 1533-position model. The record is from RNAcentral.
GACGAACGCUGGCGGCGUGCCUAAUACAUGCAAGUAGAACGCUGAAGGAGGAGCUUGCUUCUCUGGAUGAGUUGCGAACGGGUGAGUAACGCGUAGGUAACCUGCCUGGUAGCGGGGGAUAACUAUUGGAAACGAUAGCUAAUACCGCAUAAUAGUAGAUGUUGCAUGACAUUUGCUUAAAAGGUGCAAUUGCAUCACUACCAGAUGGACCUGCGUUGUAUUAGCCAGUUGGUGGGGUAACGGCUCACCAAGGCGACGAUACAUAGCCGACCUGAGAGGGUGAUCGGCCACACUGGGACUGAGACACGGCCCAGACUCCUACGGGAGGCAGCAGUAGGGAAUCUUCGGCAAUGGACGGAAGUCUGACCGAGCAACGCCGCGUGAGUGAAGAAGGUUUUCGGAUCGUAAAGCUCUGUUGUAAGAGAAGAACGAGUGUGAGAGUGGAAAGUUCACACUGUGACGGUAUCUUACCAGAAAGGGACGGCUAACUACGU